GAUGAACGCUGGCGGCGUGCCUAAUACAUGCAAGUCGAGCGAACGGACGAGAAGCUUGCUUCUCUGAUGUUAGCGGCGGACGGGUGAGUAACACGUGGAUAACCUACCUAUAAGACUGGGAUAACUUCGGGAAACCGGAGCUAAUACCGGAUAAUAUUUUGAACCGCAUGGUUCAAAAGUGAAAGACGGUCUUGCUGUCACUUAUAGAUGGAUCCGCGCUGCAUUAGCUAGUUGGUAAGGUAACGGCUUACCAAGGCAACGAUGCAUAGCCGACCUGAGAGGGUGAUCGGCCACACUGGAACUGAGACACGGUCCAGACUCCUACGGGAGGCAGCAGUAGGGAAUCUUCCGCAAUGGGCGAAAGCCUGACGGAGCAACGCCGCGUGAGUGAUGAAGGUCUUCGGAUCGUAAAACUCUGUUAUUAGGGAAGAACAUAUGUGUAAGUAACUGUGCACAUCUUGACGGUACCUAAUCAGAAAGCCACGGCUAACUACGUGCCAGCAGCCGCGGUAAUACGUAGGUGGCAAGCGUUAUCCGGAAUUAUUGGGCGUAAAGCGCGCGUAGGCGGUUUUUUAAGUCUGAUGUGAAAGCCCACGGCUCAACCGUGGAGGGUCAUUGGAAACUGGAAAACUUGAGUGCAGAAGAGGAAAGUGGAAUUCCAUGUGUAGCGGUGAAAUGCGCAGAGACAUGGAGGAACACCAGUGGCGAAGGCGACUUUCUGGUCUGUAACUGACGCUGAUGUGCGAAAGCGUGGGGAUCAAACAGGAUUAGAUACCCUGGUAGUCCACGCCGUAAACGAUGAGUGCUAAGUGUUAGGGGGUUUCCGCCCCUUAGUGCUGCAGCUAACGCAUUAAGCACUCCGCCUGGGGAGUACGACCGCAAGGUUGAGACUCAAAGGAAUUGACGGGGACCCGCACAAGCGGUGGAGCAUGUGGUUUAAUUCGAAGCAACGCGAAGAACCUUACCAAAUCUUGACAUCCUUUGACAACUCUAGAGAUAGAGCCUUCCCCUUCGGGGGACAAAGUGACAGGUGGUGCAUGGUUGUCGUCAGCUCGUGUCGUGAGAUGUUGGGUUAAGUCCCGCAACGAGCGCAACCCUUAAGCUUAGUUGCCAUCAUUAAGUUGGGCACUCUAAGUUGACUGCCGGUGACAAACCGGAGGAAGGUGGGGAUGACGUCAAAUCAUCAUGCCCCUUAUGAUUUGGGCUACACACGUGCUACAAUGGACAAUACAAAGGGCAGCGAAACCGCGAGGUCAAGCAAAUCCCAUAAAGUUGUUCUCAGUUCGGAUUGUAGUCUGCAACUCGACUACAUGAAGCUGGAAUCGCUAGUAAUCGUAGAUCAGCAUGCUACGGUGAAUACGUUCCCGGGUCU
This 1372-nucleotide ribosomal RNA is filed under the name uncultured bacterium. RNAcentral describes it as "bacterial SSU rRNA". It matches the Rfam family "Bacterial small subunit ribosomal RNA", at positions 28 to 1381 of the family's 1533-position model. The record is from RNAcentral.